AAAACUCGUCAUUAAUACACUAUACAUAGACUGUGUUUUUCCAAUGGGUAAUUUUUAUAGAACCCCCUUGAUCUAGUGUUAUACAGUUCUGUUUGUCUUUAGUAAGGUUCUAAGGGAACUCUAGUAGAAGAAAGUUGUCAUAGAAUAAUAAGGAUAAGAAGAAUGGCCACCCCAUUAUCAACCGUUAACCACAAUACCUACAACAUGUAUAAUAUACAUGGUGAUUGUCAAGCUGUACAGAUUGGAACAUCAAACACAAUAAAUGAAACUACUAACCAGACCGACAGUGAUGAUUGCACAUCCGAUAUGGAAGAUGUGAGAUUCCAGAUGAAUCGGAUAAAGGAACAAUUUGAACGAAAAGAUGAGGAAAUAGCUGAAUUGAAAAAUAGGGUUGCUGACCUGGAAGAAUUUAAGAAGAAAGUAGAACAAUCAGAAGUCAAGACAAACGCCAACACUAAUACUAGACGUUAUGUCAGGGAUACGAGUAAUGCUAUUACUCUAAAGUUUUUUAAACCAUGGGGAAAUACGGGUACUAUAACUGUCAGUAAGAAAGUCAGUGUUAAUGAUUUAAUGAAGUUGAUAGAAGAGAAGGAGAAUAAGAAGAUUAGAGGGAUUGUUAUAGUGAGAUAUAGAGAUGGUAGUAUUAGACAGAUCUACUACACUACUACCAACAAGAACAAGAACGACUAUAGCCUGGAACAACUUGGUGUUGUAGACCAGGACCAGGUUUACUACUAUGAAUAGUAAAAUAUAGAGAUUAUAUUGAUAUGAUGUAUUUAUGGUCUCCUUUAUAUUGAACAAUGAGGGGGGGGGGUAGAUAUUACUUAUAGUAAAAUAUAAUGGACGAACCAGAACGAGGUUAGGUAUUAUUAUCUUAUUGUCUCUUGAUUAGGUUGUGAGGGUGGAAUAAAGUAAAAUGUUUGAGUGGUGUUGUGGGUGAUGUGGUGUGGUGGUGUGGGUGCUAAGUUAGUGAAGAGAUUUAUCAACCACACCAGCACCCUAACCAAGUAUCUUAUACCCCCUUCGCCCCCCCCCCCCCCAACCCCCAUGAUUGAUAUAUUGAAUCUUACUCUAAGUAAUAUCUUACCUGUCCCACCUGUUCCACCUGAUUGAUAUAUUGAAUCUUACUCUAAGUAAUAUCUUACCUGUCUCACCUGUCCCACCUGAUUGAUAUAUUGAAUCUUACUCUAAGUAAUAUCUAACAUCCUAAUAUAAAACUCGCUUACUACUGUAAAUAAAGCUGUAAUUCAAUAGUCACGAUUAUCAGGUGAUAUGUAGUCGUGAUCAUGUGAUAACUAACUGACAUGUAUAUAAUAUAUAAUUAUAUUAGUGAAACAAUGUUUUAUAUUUUGUAUUCUAAUUUUGUUUCAAUAAAAUAUUUUAUAACUAAACUAAUGUCGUUCUACUAAUAUUUCUAUGGUGUCAGGAAAUGAGAUAGUUACCACUAACAGAGGGGGUCAGUCUGUGGUAUCAUGAAAUACUGGAUAACGCUGUCAACAUGUGUCUAGUCAUACGAAUGGAACAAAAAAAAGAGAAUCUAUCUUGAAGAAAUAAUUCUAGGAACAGUUGGCUGCAAUGGGCAAUUAAUACAGGGUGACGUACACAAUAUGUUUCUAGUCAUUCGAAUGGGACGUGCAAAAAAAAAAACUCCAAUCAAAUACAGAUUACAGAUGCUUUACGCACGACCAAAGGACUUUCUCGUUGAUUAAAAUAAAUACGCAAAUACAAUCUGUUUCUAAUCUAGAUUAAAUGAGUUUUUAGUGGUGACUUGAAAAUUGUGAAUCUUUAAGAUCCUUUAAUUUUUAAUGGCGGAGGGGUUGAAUGGACGAAUGGUUAGUGCGUGCGCGUUGUAUCAAUAAUGUUUGUCAUAUUGAGUCAACUGGCGUGGGUUCGAUUCCCAGGUUGUACGCGAUAAGGAGUAGGGUCGCCUGUCCAACCUCGUUGGUUUUCUCCGGGUCCUCCGGUUUCAUCUCACUUCAAAAGACCCCUACGCGCAAGCAAAUUAUUGAAAAAAAACUGAACCAUGUUAGUCCCGAAAUGACAAUGUUUGUGUCGAGAGGACCUCUCUCUCUCUCUCUGGCAACAAAUUCCAAACGUUUUAGUUUUUUUUUUGUUUUUUUUUUAUUUAUUUAAUU
Long non-coding RNA from Patella vulgata (common limpet), 2135 nucleotides. RefSeq lists it as uncharacterized. The transcript has 3 exons. NCBI's taxonomy places the organism in Eukaryota, Metazoa, Mollusca, Gastropoda, Patellidae. The record is from RefSeq and is a predicted model, not a curated record.